AUUGAACGCUGGCGGCAUGCCUUACACAUGCAAGUCGAACGGCAGCACGGGGGCAACCCUGGUGGCGAGUGGCGAACGGGUGAGUAAUGCAUCGGAAUGUACCCGGUAGUGGGGGAUAACCAGUCGAAAGACUGGCUAAUACCGCAUACGCACUACGGUGGAAAGCGGGGGACCGCAAGGCCUCGCGCUAUCGGAGCAGCCGAUGUCCGAUUAGGUAGUUGGUGGGGUAAUGGCCUACCAAGCCCGCGAUCGGUAACUGGUCUGAGAGGACGACCAGUCACACUGGGACUGAGGCACGGCCCAGACUCCUACGGGAGGCAGCAGUGGGGAAUUUUGGACAAUGGGCGCAAGCCUGAUCCAGCAAUGCCGCGUGUGUGAAGAAGGCCUUCGGGUUGUAAAGCACUUUUGGCAGGAAAGAAAUAGCGCGUGCUAAUACCAUGCGCGAAUGACGGUACCUGCAGAAUAAGCACCGGCUAACUACGUGCCAGCAGCCGCGGUAAGACGUAGGGUGCAAGCGUUAAUCGGAAUUACUGGGCGUAAAGCGUGCGCAGGCGGUUUUGUAAGACAGGUGUGAAAUCCCCGGGCUCAACCUGGGAACUGCACUUGUGACUGCAAGGCUAGAGUGUGUCAGAGGGAGGUGGAAUUCCGCGUGUAGCAGUGAAAUGCGUAGAGAUGCGGAGGAACACCGAUGGCGAAGGCAGCCUCCUGGGAUAACACUGACGCUCAGGCACGAAAGCGUGGGGAGCAAACAGGAUUAGAUACCCUGGUAGUCCACGCCCUAAAC
RNAcentral lists this ribosomal RNA (784 nucleotides) under uncultured bacterium. Its description in RNAcentral is "bacterial SSU rRNA". It matches the Rfam family "Bacterial small subunit ribosomal RNA", at positions 28 to 807 of the family's 1533-position model. The record is from RNAcentral.